UGAAUCUUGGUGGGGAAAUUUCACCUGCAAUAGGGAAGCUUCAGAGCUUGGUCUCUAUGUAAUUGUUACUCUCCUUCGCCCUUUUUUUGGUGCAGUAAUGUAGUUGAGGCAUUUGUAUUGUCUUGCUUAUGCAUUUUUCCUCUUUUUUAUUUAGUGACUCGAGAGAGAACAAGUUAUCGGGGUAGAUGCCAGAUGAGAUUGGUGACUUUUCUUCAUUGAAGAACUUGGACUUGUCAUUUAAUGAAAUUAGAGGGGAUAUCCCGUUUUCUAUUUCUAAGUUGAAACAACUAGAGAAUCUGUGAGUAUUUUAUGGCAUUUCCUUUCAAAUGAAUUUUUUUUAUUUUGGGAAGAGGUUAUGACAGGUUUUCGAUUUUAAGUAAAUUAUAUCUCAGGAUUUUAAAGAACAACCAGUUCAUUGGACCAAUUCCUUCAACUUUGUCUCAGAUUCCUAAUUUGAAGAUUUUAGACCUGGCUCAAAAUAAUCUCGGUGGUAAAAUACCAAGGCUUAUAUACUACAACAAAGAUUUGUAGUAUUUGUGAGUAUACACAAUUUGCAAAUGAAAUUGUUAUUUCAUAAACUUAGUGUUGACUUUAUUUUUCCUUCCUUCCUUAUCCAUUUAAUAGGGGUUAGAGAG
This is a non-coding RNA of Vigna umbellata (rice bean), 635 nucleotides long. Lineage: Eukaryota; Viridiplantae; Streptophyta; Magnoliopsida; Fabales; Fabaceae. The record is from RefSeq and is a predicted model, not a curated record.